RNAcentral lists this transfer RNA (68 nucleotides) under Pygmaiobacter massiliensis. It matches the Rfam family "tRNA". From Rfam's summary of the family: Transfer RNA (tRNA) molecules are approximately 80 nucleotides in length. The record is from RNAcentral. Lineage: Bacteria; Bacillati; Bacillota; Clostridia; Eubacteriales; Oscillospiraceae.
CAGAUAUAGUUUAGUGGUAAAACUCCAGCCUUCCAAGCUGGUUAUGCGGGUUCGAUUCCCGCUAUCUG